RNAcentral lists this small RNA (64 nucleotides) under Arabidopsis thaliana (thale cress). Its description in RNAcentral is "ATSL090070". Lineage: Eukaryota; Viridiplantae; Streptophyta; Magnoliopsida; Brassicales; Brassicaceae. The record is from RNAcentral.
ACCACUUGGGUCGAGUACCGUUCUUAAUCCGUCCCAAUACUGCGUCGUUUUGAGUAUUAGGGUU